UUUUUAAAAGUUUCAUCCUUUGAAGUUCAGUUGGAGCUGGAGCUGUAACCCAGUAGUAGCCCAGUGGUAGAACACUUGCCUAGCAUGUGUGAGACCCUGGGUCUGAUCACCAAAACGGAAAAAAACAGGGGCGGGCCUUGGUGACUCUUAACCUCUGGCCAAUCACACACCUCCUGGGGCAGUGACGACCCUUUGGAACGUCUGCCCUAUCAACUGUCGAUGGUAGUUGCCAUGCUGACCUUGGUGACCACAGGUGACAGGGAAUCAGGGUUCAAUUCCAGAGAGGGAGCCUGAGAAAUGGCUGCUAUAACCAAGGAAGGCAGCAGGUGCGUAAAUUACCUACUCCUGACCUGGGGAGGUAGUGACGAAAAAUAACAAUACAGGACUGUUUUGAGGCCCUGUGAUUGGAAUAAGUCUAUUUUAAUCCUUUAACAAGGAUCCAUUGGAGGGAAGUAUGGUGCCAGCAGCUGCAGUAAUUCCAGCUCCAAU
This 489-nucleotide non-coding RNA is filed under the name Fukomys damarensis (Damara mole-rat). RNAcentral's name for it is "Eukaryotic small subunit ribosomal RNA". It matches the Rfam family "Eukaryotic small subunit ribosomal RNA", at positions 171 to 595 of the family's 1831-position model. The record is from Rfam by way of RNAcentral. Lineage: Eukaryota; Metazoa; Chordata; Mammalia; Rodentia; Bathyergidae.